UCCACAGUAGCUGCUCAGUGGUAGAGCAAUCGGCUGUUAACCGAUCGGUCGUAGGUUCGAAUCCUACCUGUGGAGCCA
Molecule: transfer RNA, 78 nt
Filed under: Salinibacillus xinjiangensis
Lineage: Bacteria; Bacillati; Bacillota; Bacilli; Caryophanales; Bacillaceae
Description: tRNA-Asn
Rfam family: tRNA
About the family: Transfer RNA (tRNA) molecules are approximately 80 nucleotides in length.
Source: RNAcentral